AUGGUGUCUCCGGCUGUAAGUGUUGUUGGAAAUGGGGUGUUGUCGCCGAGGGUCGCCUCGUUCUCCUCCAGAGGUCCAAGCCUAUUGCUCCCUGGCAUACUGAAGCCCGACAUUACUGCUCCUGGCGUCAACAUAUUGGCAGCGGUACGCGGCUCCUACGUGUUCUAUUCUGGGACAUCAAUGGCGUGCCCACAUGUCUCCGCAGUGACUGCGAUGCUCAAGUCGGUUCACCCUCAGUGGUCACCUGCCAUGAUCAAAUCGGCCAUCGUCACCACAGCAUCUGUGACCGAUCGUUUUGGCAUGCCAAUCCAAGCAGAAGCAGUCCCAAGGAAACUAGCCGACCCCUUCGACUUUGGUGGUGGACACAUUGACCCAAAUAGAGCCGUUGACCCUGGCUUGGUUUACGACAUUGAUGCAAGGGAGUACAACAAGUUUUUCAACUGCACCCUUGGAUAUUUAGGCGGCUGUGAGUCCUACUACCUCAAUCUCAACCUCCCGUCAAUUGCCGUGCCAGACCUCAAGGACCGUGUCAUGCUUCGGCGCACCGUGACUAACAUUGGGCCAGCGGAAGCAACAUAUCAUUUAGUGGUUGAAGCUCCAGCGGGGAUAGACGUGUCCGUAGAGCCAUCUGUGAUAAAUUUCACCCAAAGCACUAGUAAAAGCGUGACGUUUAUGGUGACAUUCACAACAAGGCAGAGAGUACAAGGAGGAUACACUUUUGGGAGCUUGACAUGGUCAGACGGAAGUACCCACUCAGUGAGAAUUCCUAUUGCGGUACGGAAUGUGAUACAAGACUUUGUUGCAGAUACAUCUUAA
RNAcentral lists this ribosomal RNA (816 nucleotides) under Triticum aestivum (bread wheat). Its description in RNAcentral is "partial small subunit ribosomal RNA". Lineage: Eukaryota; Viridiplantae; Streptophyta; Magnoliopsida; Poales; Poaceae. The record is from RNAcentral.